UGGUCUCGGCUGCAGAAGCGAGAUGACGAAGGGAACGUCAUCGUUUGGAAAGCGUCGCAAUAAGACGCACACAUUGUGCCGCCGCUGUGGCUCUAAGGCCUACCACCUUCAGAAGUCGACCUGCGGCAAAUGUGGCUACCCUUCCAAGCGCAAGAGAAAGUAUAACUGGAGUGCCAAGGCUAGAAGACGAAAUACCACCGGAACUGGUCGAAUGAGGCACCUAAAAAUGGUAUACCACAGAUUCAGGCAUGGAUAA
Molecule: RNA transcript, 256 nt
Organism: Piliocolobus tephrosceles (Ugandan red Colobus)
Lineage: Eukaryota; Metazoa; Chordata; Mammalia; Primates; Cercopithecidae
Gene name: 60S ribosomal protein L37 pseudogene
Exons: 1
Source: RefSeq, a predicted model, not a curated record